AUUGCUGGCGACCGGCGCACGGGUGAGUAACACGUAUCCAACCUGCCGAUAACUCGGGGAUAGCCUUUCGAAAGAAAGAUUAAUACCCGAUGGUAUAAUCAGACCGCAUGGUCUUGUUAUUAAAGAAUUUCGGUUAUCGAUGGGGGUGCGUUCCAUUAGGCAGUUGGUGAGGUAACGGCUCACCAAACCUUCGAUGGAUAGGGGUUCUGAGAGGAAGGUCCCCCACAUUGGAACUGAGACACGGUCCAA
This 249-nucleotide ribosomal RNA is filed under the name uncultured bacterium. RNAcentral's name for it is "partial 16S ribosomal RNA". It matches the Rfam family "Bacterial small subunit ribosomal RNA", at positions 84 to 334 of the family's 1533-position model. The record is from RNAcentral.